This 200-nucleotide ribosomal RNA is filed under the name uncultured bacterium. RNAcentral describes it as "partial 16S ribosomal RNA". It matches the Rfam family "Bacterial small subunit ribosomal RNA", at positions 1301 to 1500 of the family's 1533-position model. The record is from RNAcentral.
UAGGCUGCAACUCGCCUACACGAAGUUGGAAUUGCUAGUAAUCGUGGAUCAGCAUGCCACGGUGAAUACGUUCCCGGGUCUUGUACACACCGCCCGUCACACCAUGAGAGUCGGGAACACCCGAAGUCCGUAGUCUAACCGCAAGGGGGGCGCGGCCGAAGGUGGGUCCGGUAAUUGGGGUGAAGUCGUAACAAGGUAGC